Molecule: transfer RNA, 59 nt
Filed under: Alectorobius rudis
Lineage: Eukaryota; Metazoa; Arthropoda; Arachnida; Ixodida; Argasidae
Description: tRNA-Leu
Source: RNAcentral
UUUAACUUGGCAGAUUAAUUGUGUCAAAUUUAGAAUUUGAUUAUGGUAAAACCAGUUAA